RNAcentral lists this ribosomal RNA (119 nucleotides) under Trichobilharzia regenti. The record is from RNAcentral. Lineage: Eukaryota; Metazoa; Platyhelminthes; Trematoda; Strigeidida; Schistosomatidae.
GUUGACAACCACAGCGCGUUGAAAACAUCGGUUCUCGUCCGACCACCGGAUUUAAGUAAAGUUUGGCCCGGGUAGUAAUCGCCUGGGUGACUGGCUGGGAAACGCAAGUGCUGAUGUCU